AUUGAACGCUGGCGGCAGGCCUAACACAUGCAAGUCGAACGGUAACAGGAAGAAGCUUGCUUCUUUGCUGACGAGUGGCGGACGGGUGAGUAAUGUCUGGGAAACUGCCUGAUGGAGGGGGAUAACUACUGGAAACGGUAGCUAAUACCGCAUAACGUCGCAAGCCCAAAGAGGGGGACCUUCGGGCCUCUUGCCAUCGGAUGUGCGCAGAUGGGAUUAGCUAGUAGGUGGGGUAACGGCUCACCUAGGCGACGAUCCCUAGCUGGUCUGAGAGGAUGACCAGCCACACUGGAACUGAGACACGGUCCAGACUCCUACGGGAGGCAGCAGUGGGGAAUAUUGCACAAUGGGCGCAAGCCUGAUACAGCCAUGCCGCGUGUAUGAAGAAGGCCUUCGGGUUGUAAAGUACUUUCAGCGGGGAGGAAGGGAGUAAAGUUAAUACCAUUGCUCAUUGACGGUACCCGAAGAAGAAGCACCGGCUAACUCCGUG
Molecule: ribosomal RNA, 490 nt
Filed under: uncultured bacterium
Lineage: Bacteria
Description: partial 16S ribosomal RNA
Rfam family: Bacterial small subunit ribosomal RNA
Source: RNAcentral